This 253-nucleotide ribosomal RNA is filed under the name uncultured bacterium. RNAcentral describes it as "partial 16S ribosomal RNA". It matches the Rfam family "Bacterial small subunit ribosomal RNA", at positions 524 to 776 of the family's 1533-position model. The record is from RNAcentral.
UACGAAGGGGGCUAGCGUUGCUCGGAAUCACUGGGCGUAAAGCGCACGUAGGCGGAUUGUUAAGUCAGGGGUGAAAUCCUGGAGCUCAACUCCAGAACUGCCUUUGAUACUGGCGAUCUCGAGUCCGGGAGAGGUGAGUGGAACUGCGAGUGUAGAGGUGAAAUUCGUAGAUAUUCGCAAGAACACCAGUGGCGAAGGCGGCUCACUGGCCCGGUACUGACGCUGAGGUGCGAAGGCGUGGGGAGCAAACAGG